UACGUAGGGCGCAAGCGUUGUCCGGAAUUAUUGGGCGUAAAGAGCUCGUAGGCGGCUUGUCACGUCGGGUGUGAAAGCCCGGGGCUUAACCCCGGGUCUGCAUUCAAUACGGGCUAGCUAGAGUGUGGUAGGGGAGAUCGGAAUUCCUGGUGUAGCGGUGAAAUGCGCAGAUAUCAGGAGGAACACCGGUGGCGAAGGCGGAUCUCUGGGCCGAUACUGACGCUGAGGAGCGAAAGCGUGGGGAGCGAACAGG
This 253-nucleotide ribosomal RNA is filed under the name uncultured bacterium. RNAcentral describes it as "partial 16S ribosomal RNA". It matches the Rfam family "Bacterial small subunit ribosomal RNA", at positions 524 to 776 of the family's 1533-position model. The record is from RNAcentral.